UACGUAGGGUGCGAGCGUUGUCCGGAAUUACUGGGCGUAAAGAGCUCGUAGGUGGUUUGUCGCGUUGUCCGUGAAAACUCACAGCUUAACUGUGGGCGUGCGGGCGAUACGGGCAGACUGGAGUACUGCAGGGGAGACUGGAAUUCCUGGUGUAGCGGUGAAAUGCGCAGAUAUCAGGAGGAACACCGGUGGCGAAGGCGGGUCUCUGGGCCGAUACUGACGCUGAGGAGCGAAAGCGUGGGGAGCGAACAGG
This 253-nucleotide ribosomal RNA is filed under the name uncultured bacterium. RNAcentral describes it as "partial 16S ribosomal RNA". It matches the Rfam family "Bacterial small subunit ribosomal RNA", at positions 524 to 776 of the family's 1533-position model. The record is from RNAcentral.